GAUCAUGGCUCAGGAUGAACGCUAGCGACAGGCUUAACACAUGCAAGUCGAGGGCAUCACGGGAGUAGCAAUACAACUGGUGGCGACCGGCGCACGGGUGAGUAACGCGUAUGCAACCUACCUAUCAGAGGGGAAUAACCCGGCGAACGUCGGACUAAUACCGCAUAAAACAGGGGCACCGCAUAGUGAUAUUUGUUAAAGAAAUUCGCUGAUAGAUGGGCAUGCGUUCCAUUAGGUAGUUGGUGAGGUAACGGCUCACCAAGCCGACGAUGGAUAGGGGAACUGAGAGGUUGGUCCCCCACACUGGUACUGAGACACGGACCAGACUCCUACGGGAGGCAGCAGUGAGGAAUAUUGGUCAAUGGGCGGGAGCCUGAACCAGCCAAGUCGCGUGAAAGGAAGAAGGAUCUAUGGUUCGUAAACUUCUUUUGUCAGGGGAAGUAAAGUGCAGGACGUGUCCUGUUUUGUAUGUACCCUGAGAAUAAGGAUCGGCUAACUCCGUGCCAGCCGCUGC
Molecule: ribosomal RNA, 514 nt
Filed under: uncultured bacterium
Lineage: Bacteria
Description: bacterial SSU rRNA
Rfam family: Bacterial small subunit ribosomal RNA
Source: RNAcentral